RNAcentral lists this unclassified non-coding RNA (5411 nucleotides) under Hevea brasiliensis (rubber tree). The record is from RNAcentral. Lineage: Eukaryota; Viridiplantae; Streptophyta; Magnoliopsida; Malpighiales; Euphorbiaceae.
UGGAAAUUGUGUUCAGUGGCAAAGCAGGGGAUAAUUGUUGUGUUCGUGGAAAACUGCCAAGAAACCUAAUGAACUUUCAAGCAUCAAAGAAUGCAUUUUCACAAUUCACAUCACAUGUUGUCUAUCUUAACCUCCCAUUCUUGAAUUCAUGCACAUGUAUGAACUCCCAAGAUUUAGGUGCCUCUCCCUCUUACGCUUAAAGCCAAAAACCAAACACCAACCCAACAAAAUUCUUGCCCAAUUAAUCAUCCAUGACCUCAAAUCACCUACCCUUUUGGCCAAGCUAAUAGAGCAAUAUUGUUCUUUAUCAAGCACACGCCAAGCUCAGUUGAUAUUCUCACACUUUCACUACCCAAACCUGUUUCUCUUUAACACUUUAAUUAGAUGUACCCAACCUCAAGAGUCGAUACAUAUUUUUGCUAAUUGGGUUUCCAAGCAUGACUUAGUUUUCGAUGAUUUUACGUGCCUUUAUGUUCUUGGUUCUUGCGCUAGAUCUCCUUCAUCGUCAACAUUAUGGCUGGGGAGACAAAUACAUGCGCAAGCCCUUAAAUUUGGAUUUAUGUCAAAUAUAUUGCUGGCAACUACAUUUAUACAUUUCUAUGCAAAUAACCGGGAUAUUUGUUCAGCGAGAAAAGUGUUUGAUGAAAUGACUAAGAGAAGUUUGGUUACGUGGAAUGCAAUGAUAACCGGGUACAGUUCACAGAAAGAGAAGGCCAAAGAAUAUGCCCGUGAUGCGCUACUGUUGUUUAGAGACAUGGUGGUUGAUCUUUGUGGAGAGAAACCAAAUGAUACUACCAUGGUUUGUGUUCUUUCGUCAAGUUCUCAAGUGGGGGUGCUUGAAAGUGGCGUUUGUAUUCAUGGUUAUAUAGAGAAGACGAUUUGUAAGCCUGAAAAUGAUGUUUAUAUUGGCACUGGUUUAGUUGAUAUGUACUCAAAAUGUGGGUGUCUUGAUAGCGCUUUAAACAUCUUUUCUGAAAUGAAGGUAAAGAAUGUGUUGACUUGGACAGCAAUGGCCACUUGCUUAGCCAUUCACGGGAAAGGGAAAGAAGCAUUGGAGCUCUUGGAUGCCAUGGCCGUAGGUGGUGUUAAACCUAAUGCGGUGACUUUCACUAGCUUAUUUUCAGCUUGUUGUCAUGCAUGCCUUGUUGAGGAGGGGCUUCAUUUGUUUCACAAUAUGGAGAGCAAAUUCGGGCUUGAACCUCAAAUACAGCACUAUGGUUGCGUUGUUGAUCUUCUCGGCAGAGCAGGGCACUUAAAAGAAGCAUACGAGUUCAUAGCAGGAAUGCCAGUUGAGCCUGAUGUCAUAUUGUGGAGGAGUCUGUUGAGUGCCUGUAAAAUUCAUGGGGAUGUUGUGUUGGGUGAGAAAGUGGCAAAGAUGCUCCUCCACUCGCAGCAAGUAAAGAAUUCUGUGGUUUCGUAUUAUACUGGUGAGGACUAUGUAGCGUUGUCAAAUGUUUUUGCUUCAGCAGAAAGGUGGGAAGAUGUGGAGAUGGUGAGAAAGGAAAUGAAGGUUAAGAAGAUAGAAACAAAGCCUGGCGCUAGUUUAGUUCAAGCCAUUAACCAUCACCUUUUGGAAGUUUAAGUGUAGAAUGGAGUAUCAAUUGGGCGGGUGAUGCUAGGGAUAGAAAUUCAAGAUGUGAACAGUAGAAAAUAACUGGAUGGGAAAAUCAUAAAUGCAGAGACCGAUGGAGAUGGAAAUAGAUGGGCAUAAAGACAGUAUGAUCAGAAAGAGUUAUUGCAAGGUUCUAACAAUGUAAUACAGGAAAGAAAGAUCCCACUUGCUAUUCCCUCGAAAUUGUCUGUGUAACAAAAGGAGUGAAUUCAUGCAUUGGUUUUAGGUAAAUACAAGAUUGAAAACGUAGCACCUACUAGUUGACCUCUUGUAAGGACAAUCCAUGUAAAAUUCAUCAGAUAUAAAAGAUGCUGGUGCUCAAUGAUCAGCAAUUCUCCUGUGCUGAUGUAAAAUUGCAAGCUUAAUCACUUUUUUGUGCCUGUGCCGUUGACAUAACACUUUUAAUCAUUAAGGGGUUAUGGAUAGAUUACCUGCCACAUGAGAAGAGGAAAGAACAAAUAAUAUGUUAUAAAACUUUUGGUUUAAGCAAUGCUUUCACAAAAACAGCCUAAUGGCAUCUUGUCCUGUAAGCCCUAACCAUUCCAAGAAACACGUCAGCCUUGGAAAAUUUGAUGAUUGUUUUGAUGAACUAUUCUAGACGGCAAGCUGCUGUCACAUGAUAAAUUGAAGGUUAAAAAUAGCUGUUUGAUUCAGCAUGUAGUUAAAGAAUGGAGCCUUUUACAUACAGCUGAACUGAAAAUCAUGCUAGAACAAAUUGCUCCUUGACAACGUCCUUCUGUAAAACCAUCUUCACACUUGGGGCCAUUCUGUUUGUUACUGCUGCUCCCCAUUGAACUGGGGCCCGAAAGGAGUUGCAGUCCCGCGGAUUCGUUUCUGCAAGUGCUCCAAGCUAGCCACUCUCUGCAAGGAAGCUGUUCGUCCCAACUUGUUCUCUGUUAGUCCUGCUGCUCCAGAAUGUAGCUGCACAUUUUCAACAGAAGAGACGUCUGCCAAAGCAUUGUUGACUUGUGGAUCAUGAGUGGACAUUGCGUUAUUUGGAGGCUGAUAAAAGUGAUGCUUUGGGUCAUCUUGGACAGGAACAGCAGCAUCCGUUGAUGUGUCAGAAGGGCUUCCAUCAAAGGAUGGCAUGCUUAUUGUGGAUAUCUCAGGCAUGGCAUGGAAUAUAGGAUUCACCCCAGUAAUCCUUUUGACUGUCUCCUCGGCCAUCUUCACCUGGAAAUGCAAUCAUCAAAUGACAUGGCACAGCAAAAUGUAAGUUUUCUGUCUCCUGUAUGUAAAGAUCUCCACCCUUAAGAUAUACAUCAUAUAUGCAUGCACGAAAGCAUGUGCGCAUGGGGGAGGAAGAAAAAGCAGUGAGGCCAUAAGAACAUUGAGUCUUAAUCUUCCAGCUCAAAAGGGUGUGUGAGUAUUCAGCAAGCACUAGGAAUUUUGGUGCGAGUUUUGAGAGUAAACCAUCCAGCAUGGUUCUCAAGUUUAUUGACAACAUUUUAAAAUCACUUACCUUUGCUCUCAAUGUUUCAACAUCAGCUUUUAAAACUCUGUUAUCAACAGCUGCCCCAUUGUACUUGUGGCCUAUGUCAGAAAGACGCUUUAAUAGAGAAGAAUUUUCAACUCUCAAUUGAGCAACCUAUAAAGUAUAAAGAAUGAAGGCAUUUAGUAGUUCGAUAGAAAUGAGAUGUUUAUAAGUGAAAGUAAGUAGCCACUAAAAAGAACCACACCUGUGUCUCAAGAUCAGUCAAAUGGGCCUGUUUUCUUCUUCUCGAUCGUCUAGCUGACUCUCUAUUUGAAAGCAUUCUGAAAGACAGCAAAAGAUUCAUAGUGAAUGGAAAUUACGAAGUAUCUGAAGAUUAAAAUUGAUCAAUGUAAUCAAAUAAUAGAAAAAAAAAUUUUAAUGAGUGCAUGUUUGGGUGUCAUGUGUAUUAAAUAUGAUACUAACUGCUACUUUCUAACUGCGUGCAUGAUAUUAACCUUUGAAGAUAAAAGUACUUGGAAGACCUAAAACCUUCUCAGAGACACAGAAAGGAAAUGAUUUUGAUCAAACUAUCCGUUUAGCAUUAUUUAUUUUAGGCAUGUUUCAUUUGGCUUACAAUCUAAUUCCACAUGCAUGAGAUUUACCCUGAGAACACACUGUAAAAUCAGUUUUAUGAGCUGUCAUAUAUAGUAAAGAAAUAAAUUUAUAUUGCACAAAUUUGACUGGACAUUCUCUUGACCACCCUGGCCACUAUGCCAAAAUACAUGCUCUAUUCUGCAGGUUUGUGGUAACAAAAAAGAAUAAUGGCUAACCAUUAAAGAUGAGAUCCAGAAAAUAUGGUCUUGCAAGAAGUGUGCAACACUUAUCAAACGAAAUGAACACAACUUUCCCAUUAUACAGAGAAAUCAAAAUUUGAGUUUCAACAUAUCCAGGCUAGGAGCAACAAAUCUGUGAUAUUAGAACUCGAGCAUCAGAGACAAUUGUUACCUCCUUACACGUUUUGCAUUAGCAGGGUCCAUAUUCUCAGUUAUUUCAGUUUCACCUUCAUUUUCAUCAUCUUCUGACUGCUCUCUUGAUGAUCCACUUGUUGGCUUCACAGUAGCUCCAGAUUUCUUUUGUGUGCUAUGUAUGGAGGAGAUUCCAACUGGUCCAUUAGCAUCCAUAUCUUGUGACGUGGACAAGUCACAUCCAGCCCCUGAAUAAGCAGUUAAAAGGAUAAUUAUGCUAAAAGAACAAAAAAUGCAUUAUAAGAGAAUCUGGGCUGCUUGUGUCAUUCAGAUGCAAAUAUUUUGGUGAUGAUUGGCAUUCUGCUAGGCAAAUCCAGCAAGACUUACAUUCCACAUUGAUCAAAUUUUACCCUUCUCAACUACCACACAGUUUCUGCCAAACAAUAUUUUUCACCUGUUAAGUUCAGCCUGUAGGAUAAGCAAGACCAAGUAAAAUUUAAUGCUUCCAAGCAUGGGUACAAAAUUCGUUUGGAUAUUAUAAACUAACUGCCGGAAAAUGUUAUUUGAAGGGAAAAGCUGUAGAAACACUUUAUGGUGCUUAUAUUACGUUUCAUGUUCAUUUACCAUUAAUAUGGCAUGUGAUCUGAUGAUUAGGGUGAUUAUGCAACUAGCCAAUAGCCACAUUUCUCAAGUCUCACUGACUUGCUAAUUAUAUAAGCUACUUUUAAAAUUAUACAAGGAUCCUUGUUGAGGUUUCUUUGCUAAUCAGCACAUCUAAUAUUUGUAUAUCCUUCUUUAUUAUAAUGAAAAAGCCUUCACAUUCCAAAAAGGUACACAAUUACAUUCAUAAACAUGGACAUUGGACUAAUAGAUUAAGUGAUGCAAACCUUUAGAAGUAGCAUGAGAUCCUAAUUGUGAAGCAUUUGAAGCCUGCGAUCCACUGUCAGCUCUAGCAGGAGAAUCUUGAGGUUUCAGAAAAGAUGCCCGGGACAGGGCAACGGCGGCGCAAGCCAAAUUGAGUUUACAUUUCAAGAACAUCUGGUACUCCUCGGAAUCCACCGGAAUAUUCGGAGGAGCACCAGGAGCAGCAGCUACAUUAAACGGCGGGGUACGUCGCGCAUUGCUAAAUGACGAUGAAGCAGUCGUUUUGUCAUUGUCCUUGAUCUCAAGGACGUCGCUUUUGUCACCAGCAGGAGCUGAAGAAGAUUGCGGCGAGGAGUCAGAGGCAGAAGCAGAAACAGCAAUAACAGAAGCCUCUUGGAGGAAGCGCUGGAAGGCCCACUCAGAUUCGCUCCGGUUCAUCUUGGAGGGAUCGUCACGUUGAGCAGAAGGUGGAGGGGACGGGGGCGGUGACCAUAACUGGUCAGAGAUUUCCCCGACUGAGAAAGCCCUAUCCAUAUAUAUAUAUACUUUGGUUGCG